Caenorhabditis elegans is the source of this 21-nucleotide non-coding RNA. The record is from Ensembl. NCBI's taxonomy places the organism in Eukaryota, Metazoa, Nematoda, Chromadorea, Rhabditida, Rhabditidae.
UAAAGAUCAAAAGCACAUAUU